RNAcentral lists this ribosomal RNA (752 nucleotides) under Chrysotila carterae. RNAcentral's name for it is "partial Bacterial large subunit ribosomal RNA". It matches the Rfam family "Bacterial large subunit ribosomal RNA", at positions 775 to 1536 of the family's 2925-position model. Lineage: Eukaryota; Haptophyta; Isochrysidales; Isochrysidaceae. The record is from RNAcentral.
CGAACCCACGUAGGUUAAAAACUGCGGGGAUGAGCUGUGGGUAGGGGUGAAAGGCCAAUCAAACUUCGUGAUAGCUGGUUCUCCCCGAAAUGCAUUUAGGUGCAGCGUCGUAUUAUAGCUUGGUGGAGGUAGAGCGACUGGUUGGUUGAGCGGGACUACAAUCUUAGCAAUGUCAGCCAAACUCCGAAUGCCACUAAUUGUGUUGUACGGCAGUGAGACUGUGGGGGAUAAGCUUCAUAGUCGAGAGGGAAACAGCCCAGAUCGCCGGUUAAGGCCCCUAAGGGUGUACUAAGUGGAAAAGGAUGUGGGAUCGCGAAGACAGCCAGGAGGUUGGCUUAGAAGCAGCCAUCCUUGAAAGAGUGCGUAAUAGCUCACUGGUCGAGUGGUUCUGCGCCGACAAUUCAGUGGGGCUCAAGUACACCGCCGAAGCCGCGGCAAACAUUUUGUUUGGGUAGGGGAGCGUCGUGCAUGGGUUGAAGCGUUACCGUAAGGAGGCGUGGACUGUGUGCGAGCGAGAAUGCAGGCAUGAGUAACGAAUUGAUAGGUGAGAAUCCUAUCCGCCGGAUGACUAAGGGUUCCUGGGUCAAGUUCGUCUUCCCAGGGUGAGUCGGGACCUAAGGCGAGGCCGACAGGCGUAGUCGAUGGAUAACCAGUUGAUAUUCUGGUACCCGUACAUGCGCGCCCAUGAUGAAGCACUGAUACUAACCACCGCGGAUGCACUACCGGUACUCUUUGAGUGUUGGUGGUGUUGA